CAAGUCGAGCGAGAAAGUGGGGGCAACUCCAUGAGUACAGCGGCGACCGGGUGAGUAACACGUGACUAACCUACCCUUGAGUGGGGAAUAACUCCGGGAAACCGGAGCUAAUACCGCAUAACACCGCAAGGUCAAAGGAGCAAUUCGCUUAAGGAGGGGGUCGCGGUUGAUUAGCUAGUUGGUGGGGUAAUGGCCCACCAAGGCGAUGAUCAAUAGCCGGCCUGAGAGGGCGCACGGCCACACUGGAACUGAAACGCGGUCCAGACUCCUACGGGAGGCAGCAGUGGGGAAUUUUGCGCAAUGGGGGAAACCCUGACGCAGCAACGCCGCGUGAAGGAUGAAGGUCUUUGGAUUGUAAACUUCUUUCGUUCGGGACGAUUAUGACGGUACCGGAAGAAGAAGCCCCGGCUAACUUCGUGCCAGCAGCCGCGGUAAUACGAAGGGGGCAAGCGUUGUUCGGAAUUAUUGGGCGUAAAGGGCGCGUAGGCGAUGCGGUAAGAGUGUUGUGAAAUCCUCGGGCUCAACUCGAGGCCUGCAACGCUGACUGCCGUGCUGGAGUGUGGGAGAGGUGCGUGGAAUUCCCGGUGUAGCGGUGAAAUGCGUAGAUAUCGGGAGGAACACCUGUGGCGAAAGCGGCGCACUGGACCACAACUGACGCUGAGGCGCGAAAGCUAGGGGGGCAAACAGGAUUAGAUACCCUGGUAGUCCUAGCCCUAAACGAUGAAUGCUUGGUGUGAUCGGUACCCAAUCCGAUCGUUGCCGCAGCUAACGCGAUAAGCAUUCCGCCUUGGGGAGUACGGUCGCAAGACUGAAACUCAAAGGA
Molecule: ribosomal RNA, 823 nt
Filed under: uncultured Acidobacteriota bacterium
Lineage: Bacteria; Pseudomonadati; Acidobacteriota
Description: bacterial SSU rRNA
Rfam family: Bacterial small subunit ribosomal RNA
Source: RNAcentral